Molecule: ribosomal RNA, 447 nt
Filed under: uncultured bacterium
Lineage: Bacteria
Description: bacterial SSU rRNA
Rfam family: Bacterial small subunit ribosomal RNA
Source: RNAcentral
CCAGACUCCUACGGGAGGCAGCAGUGGGGAAUAUUGCACAAUGGGGGAAACCCUGAUGCAGCAACGCCGCGUGAGUGAAGAAGUCAUUCGUGAUGUAAAGCUCUAUCAGCAGGGAAGAAAAUGACGGUACCUGAGUAAGAAGCCCCGGCUAACUACGUGCCAGCAGCCGCGGUAAUACGUAGGGGGCAAGCGUUAUCCGGAUUUACUGGGUGUAAAGGGCGUGUAGCCGGGCUGACAAGUCAGAUGUGAAAUCCGGGGGCUCAACCCCCGAACUGCAUUUGAAACUGUUGGUCUUGAGUGUCGGAGAGGUAAUCGGAAUUCCUUGUGUAGCGGUGAAAUGCGUAGAUAUAAGGAAGAACACCAGUGGCGAAGGCGGAUUACUGGACGAUAACUGACGGUGGGGCGCGAAAGCGUGGGGAGCAAACAGGAUUAGAUACCCCCGUACUG